Molecule: ribosomal RNA, 468 nt
Filed under: uncultured bacterium
Lineage: Bacteria
Description: partial 16S ribosomal RNA
Rfam family: Bacterial small subunit ribosomal RNA
Source: RNAcentral
GACGAACGCUGGCGGCGUGCUUAACACAUGCAAGUCGAACGGAAAGGCCCUGCUUUUGUGGGGUGCUCGAGUGGCGAACGGGUGAGUAACACGUGAGUAACCUGCCCUUGACUUUGGGAUAACUUCAGGAAACUGGGGCUAAUACCGGAUAGGAGCUCCUGCUGCAUUGUGGGGGUUGGAAAGUUUCGGCGGGUGGGGAUGGACUCGCGGCUUAUCAGCUUGUUGGUGGGGUAGUGGCUUACCAAGGCUUUGACGGGUAGCCGGCCUGAGAGGGUGACCGGCGACAUUGGGACUAAGAGACGGCCCAGACUCCUACGGGAGGCAGCAGUGGGGAAUAUUGCACAAUGGGCGGAAGCCUGAUGAAGCAACGCCGCGUGCGGGAUGACGGCCUUCGGGUUGUAAACCGCUUUCGCCUGUGACGAAGCGUGAGUGACGGUAAUGGGUAAAGAAGCACCGGCUAACUACGUG